CACUGUGCAGCUCCAGAGGGCAAGACAAGAACCGUUGGGAGAAUCUUCUAGGGGGCCGGCUGGAAUUCAAAGGGAAGAAGCCCUUUCUGAUGUUAGAGCCAGAUGGCAGCAACCUGGCUCCUAGAGGGGGGCAGGCCACCUGCCCUGCUUCCCCACUGCCAAAGACGGAUACACCCACACCCCGAAACUGAGGAAGCCUGUGGGGGUCCAGUGCUGCCUCUGAUGAACACGCACUCCCCGGAGGUGAGCACCACGGCUCUCACCACCACGGCAAGCUCUGUCCAGCAUUGAGACCAGCACGCAGGAGAUGUUCA
This 314-nucleotide long non-coding RNA is filed under the name Mustela putorius furo (domestic ferret). RNAcentral's name for it is "lncRNA (ENSMPUG00000024387.1)". The record is from RNAcentral. Lineage: Eukaryota; Metazoa; Chordata; Mammalia; Carnivora; Mustelidae.